AUGUCCUCUUGAGUUCCCUUUAACGCUUCAUUGUUCAUACUUGGUUGUCUAGUAAUCUACGGAUAAAUCUGUCCAAUGAACACUGAAGUGUUUGGGGGGACUCUAGGUGGCAU
Molecule: microRNA precursor, 113 nt
Filed under: Brassica napus (rape)
Lineage: Eukaryota; Viridiplantae; Streptophyta; Magnoliopsida; Brassicales; Brassicaceae
Description: pre miRNA mir-395
Rfam family: mir-395 microRNA precursor family
About the family: mir-395 was identified in both Arabidopsis thaliana and Oryza sativa computationally and was later experimentally verified. mir-395 is thought to target mRNAs coding for ATP sulphurylases. The mature sequence is excised from the 3' arm of the hairpin.
Source: Rfam by way of RNAcentral